ACCAGACUCCUACGGGAGGCAGCAGUGGGGGAUAUUGCACAAUGGGGGGAACCCUGAUGCAGCGACGCCGCGUGGGUGAAGAAGCGCCUCGGCGCGUAAAGCCCUGUCAGCAGGGAAGAAAAUGACGGUACCUGAAGAAGAAGCCCCGGCUAACUACGUGCCAGCAGCCGCGGUAAUACGUAGGGGGCAAGCGUUAUCCGGAUUUACUGGGUGUAAAGGGGGCGCAGACGGCGAUGCAAGCCAGGAGUGAAAGCCCGGGGCCCAACCCCGGGACUGCUCUUGGAACUGCGUGGCUGGAGUGCAGGAGGGGCAGGCGGAAUUCCUGGUGUAGCGGUGAAAUGCGUAGAUAUCAGGAGGAACACCGGUGGCGAAGGCGGCCUGCUGGACGGCGACUGACGUUGAGGCCCGAAAGCGUGGGGAGCAAACAGGAUUAGAUACCCUGGUACUU
This 448-nucleotide ribosomal RNA is filed under the name uncultured bacterium. Its description in RNAcentral is "partial 16S ribosomal RNA". It matches the Rfam family "Bacterial small subunit ribosomal RNA", at positions 330 to 795 of the family's 1533-position model. The record is from RNAcentral.